GAGGGGGCAGGGCUCAGCUCCUUUUGCAAGGGGAGAGGAGCUGAGUUGUAGGGUGGUGUGGUGUUAGUUUAUAGGAUUUAGUGCUAUUUGGGUUCAGGCAUGCAGCUCGAAAAAACAGAAAGCUGUAGGCUUUUUAUGCUUCUUGCAAAAAAAAAAAAACUGUAGGCUUUUAUAUUUUUUGCAAAUAUAUAUAUAUGCAUACUAAAACAAACAUUAAGAAAAGCAAGAGCGCAGGUCCUGCUGAGGGUAAGGAGUCAGGCUGCAUUGGCUCGUGGGUGAGCAGUCACAAGGCUGGGGGAGGGGGGAGUCUGGUUUCAGGGCCUGGGAGGAGAUCUGUGCAGAGAGUGGGGAUCUGCAGCUGCAGCUUUCUGGAUCUGCUGGGGGAGGCAGCAGGAGAGAGCAGCUGAUCACCACUGAGCUGUGCACCCCUGAAAGAGAAGAAAAGGAUGUGCAGCUUUAGCUGAAAAACCUACUGCAAGAACAUAGGAACUGCGGAGGAAGACUGAGACAAAGCAUGUCGAAGAGCGAAGGGGUGGCUGCCGUGGUCCCGACCUCCAAAGCACCAAUAGGGAGCAAGGGGGCAGAGGAGAAAAAAGAAGAGCCCCUGAAGAGGAGGCACGGGAAGGAGACCCGCGAGUCGAGUGGGAAUGGGAGGGGGUCGUCCCAGGACUCGGCGCCCGCCUGCGACAGAAUCGCCUUGGACGAAUCCUGCAAAAGGAGUAGCUGAGUCCCGGUUUUGGGGGAACAGACCACAUUAGGAGGAGGCCUGGAAGGCUACGUGGACGUGUGACCACAGAGAUGGUCGAGCAGAGAGCCACAGAUGAAGAGGCGUCAAGGGGGAAGAAGAAUACAAAAACAGACUUGAGAUUAACAACGGGUCACCCCUUCUAUUCCCGUCUCCCUCCGUAAGAGGUCCCCAUCCCCACCCUGCAGAGGCCACCAUGACCUGACGGCAUGCACCAGGCUGUCUCGUGCACCCCACUGGAGGGGGGCUGUGGGCCUCGGCAUCCCACCUGCAGACUGCUGACACCUAAGACCGUCUCAGUGGAGCCUGUGUCCUGACCAGAUGUACUUGGACUCUGACCGCCCUAGGAUUGGUGGUGUGGUCGGCCUGAGGGUUGUGCUCGCCCCGGAGCAAAGGUAUAGAGGGGCUGGGUCCAAAUCCAUUGCCAACAAAGCGGUGAUACUCGACAACCCUGUGGAACUGGAGCACGAAGGCUACUGCGCACCCUGAACAAGGACGAAGAGCGGAUGUUGUGAUCUGCAGAUGUUAAUGCAUCAAGGAGAAACUUGGGAGAGGUUGCUUCGUGUCAAGACGUUCUGCAUUAAAUACUUCUUUUGAGAGAAGGAACCCUUCUUCAGCUGUUAACCAGUCCGGUUUCCCCACAUACAGCUACUUCCAUGCGUGAGGACUGUAGGGGCAGACUCGGGUUACAUUGACAUGUAUGCAGGUCUCUGAUGGUUGGGCUUCCUUCGGUCUUUAAACUAAUAAAGCCUGGUCUACAGUAGGUGAAAUGCUGCAGCGAAGUGAAGUGACUUGCCCCAAGGUCACAGCAGAGUAAUGGGAGGACCAGAAAGAACAUCCAGGUCUCCUCUUCGUUGCUUCUUGGCUCCUGUUCCUUCCCCUACAGGAAAGAUUUAGGGAAUGGAUGAGGGAAGGAUACCAGGGGGAGGUAGUAUGAAAUUGGGGGGUACAUAAUGCCAAGAGCAUGCCCUUGGCUGAGCUCCGAGUGCUGCUUUUACAGCAGUGAUGAGGCCCAAAGGUGCACCCAGCUGGAGUGGGACAGGUAGAGAUGGAGGGAAAUUCAUCUCUUCUGCAUCUGACAUUCAACUGCUACUUGUAAAAAGAGUAAGGAGAACUCACCAGGAAAAGAAAUGUUAUCCUAAUAUAGGUUAAUGGCCACCCUCUAGUCAAGGGUUUUUUUUCCUUUUAAAAAAAUAAAUAAAAGCCCGAGCAAGUUGAUGGGCUUGCCAGCUGAUGAAUCUUCAUAAUCGUAUACAUACGAUUUCUCAUGUUCACAAGCAUUUCCUAUAUAGCUUUCUAGGGAUGGGAGUUGCAAAUAAUGCAGUUGUGUUGUUUGGCUGUUCUGAGCAAUAAAACAUGUGCAUUGAAA
Molecule: long non-coding RNA, 2114 nt
Organism: Alligator mississippiensis (American alligator)
Lineage: Eukaryota; Metazoa; Chordata; Crocodylia; Alligatoridae
Exons: 5
Source: RefSeq, a predicted model, not a curated record